AUUGAACGCUGGCGGCAGGCCUAACACAUGCAAGUCGAACGGUAACAGGAAGAAGCUUGCUUCUUUGCUGACGAGUGGCGGACGGGUGAGUAAUGUCUGGGAAACUGCCUGAUGGAGGGGGAUAACUACUGGAAACGGUAGCUAAUACCGCAUAACGUCGCAAGACCAAAGAGGGGGACCUUCGGGCCUCUUGCCAUCGGAUGUGCCCAGAUGGGGUUAGCUAGUAGGUGGGGUAACGGCUCACCUAGGCGACGAUCCCUAGCUGGUCUGAGAGGAUGAACAGCCCCACUGGAACUGAGACACGGUCCAGACUCCUACGGGAGGCAGCAGUGGGGAAUAUUGCGCAAUGGGGGCAAGCCUGAUGCAGCCAUGCCGCGUGUAUGAAGAAGGCCUUCGGGUUGUAAAGUACUUUCAGCGGGGAGGAAGGGAGUAAAGUUAAUACCUUUGCUCAUUGACGUUACCCGCAGAAGAAGCACCGGCUAACUCCGUG
This 490-nucleotide ribosomal RNA is filed under the name uncultured bacterium. Its description in RNAcentral is "partial 16S ribosomal RNA". It matches the Rfam family "Bacterial small subunit ribosomal RNA", at positions 30 to 507 of the family's 1533-position model. The record is from RNAcentral.